AAUCGUGAAUCAGAAUGUCACGGUGAAUACGUUCCCGGGCCUUGUACACACCGCCCGUCACACCAUGGGAGUGGGUUGCACCAGAAGUAGAUAGCUUAACCGCAAGGGGGGCGUUUACCACGGUGUGGUCCAUGACUGGGGUGAAGUCGUAACAAGGUAACCGUAGGGGAACCUGCGGUUGGAUCACCUCCUUACGAAGA
Molecule: ribosomal RNA, 200 nt
Filed under: Gilliamella apis
Lineage: Bacteria; Pseudomonadati; Pseudomonadota; Gammaproteobacteria; Orbales; Orbaceae
Description: partial 16S ribosomal RNA
Rfam family: Bacterial small subunit ribosomal RNA
Source: RNAcentral